Molecule: long non-coding RNA, 811 nt
Filed under: Linum usitatissimum (flax)
Lineage: Eukaryota; Viridiplantae; Streptophyta; Magnoliopsida; Malpighiales; Linaceae
Description: long non-coding RNA (LUSI_LNC005606)
Source: RNAcentral
AUCAGCACUCCUGGUAUCAGAGAUGCCAUGACUUCAGAUCUGUUAGUAAUAACCAUAUGAACAGAAGUUAAAAUUACAAAUUUCCAGUUUUAUUGUAUCAUUGAUAUCAAGUUUCCAGAAUUGUCAGUAAUGUUAGAUCCACAAAUGAACACAGGCUGCCAGAGCUCAGAACACUUGCUGUUACUUUUCUUUUCUUAUUUAUGGAAAUCUUCUUGUAGGUAUUCACUGCUUAGCUGGCCUAUGUGAUGCCAUGCCGGCUGAAGAAGUCAAAGCCUAUUAGCUAUUUGGAAGAUCAUAAGAGUUGUAGACAAAUGUAUCAAUCUGCAGGCUAAGAAAUUAAACAACUCAGAAGCACAAGUUGACCAGAUUUACCUCAGAGAAGAAGGAGCUUUGCAAUAAAGAAUGAAGAUUUUGAGGCUUAGAAGGAUGUUUGUGUUGCAGGAAUAUGACAAACAAAGUAAGUUCCUUUUGGUGAAAAAUCAGUGUGGCAGACCAAACAAGGGGGAGAAAUUGCAUGGUAGACAAGUAAUCAUUCAUCACAGAUUUCUUGGCUUUUAAGGCAAGUGACAAUCAUCAUUUGUUCCCAAGUAAUGUUGUAGCAAACAAACAUAAUCCUGAGCCUAAUGGGUAUUUUUUAAUUAGAAUAUUGUAAGGAUUAACUGAUGCUUGUACUUGAAGGGAUUGUGGGUGGGAAAAUGUUUGAUAAUUAAAGUGUUAGAUUGGUUAUAAACUAUAGGUACGAUGAGGAAUUUGGUAGACCAAUUCCAAUGAUUUCUAUGGGAAGUUAGGGGCAGGUGGAGUAACGUAGAAC